UGGGGAAUCUUGCGCAAUGGUCUAACGACUGACGCAGCGACGCCGCGUGUGGGAGGACGCCUUUCGGGGUGUAAACCACUGUUGCCCGGGACGAACAGCCCUUUUCGAGGGGUCUGACGGUACCGGGUGAGGAAGCACCGGCUAACUCCGUGCCAGCAGCCGCGGUAAUACGGAGGGUGCGAGCGUUGUCCGGAAUCAUUGGGCGUAAAGGGCGCGUAGGUGGCCCAGCAAGCGUGCGGUGAAAGCUCGGGGCUCAACCCCGGGUCGGCCGUGCGAACUGCGGGGCUGGAGCACUGUAGAGGCAGGCGGAAUUCCGGGUGUAGCGGUGGAAUGCGUAGAGAUCCGGAAGAACACCGGUGGCGAAGGCGGCCUGCUGGGCAGUGGCUGACGCUGAGGCGCGACAGCGUGGGGAGCAAACAGGAUUAGAUACCCUGGUAGUCCACGCCGUAAACGAUGGGCACUAGGUGCUCGGGGGAGCGACCCCCGAGUGCCGGCGC
Molecule: ribosomal RNA, 497 nt
Filed under: uncultured bacterium
Lineage: Bacteria
Description: bacterial SSU rRNA
Rfam family: Bacterial small subunit ribosomal RNA
Source: RNAcentral